This 822-nucleotide ribosomal RNA is filed under the name Cornufer mamusiorum. RNAcentral's name for it is "partial 12S ribosomal RNA". It matches the Rfam family "Bacterial small subunit ribosomal RNA". Lineage: Eukaryota; Metazoa; Chordata; Amphibia; Anura; Ceratobatrachidae. The record is from RNAcentral.
CUAACUAACACAUUGCAAGUCUCAGCACACCCGUGAGGAUGCCCUUCCCACUAACCCAUAAGAAGGAGCAGAUAUCAGGCACAGAUUCUAGCCUAAAACACCUAGCACCGCCACACCCAUAAGGGCAUGCAGCAGYGAUUAACAUUACCAAUAAGCGUCAGCUUGAACCAGUUAGGGGUAUACGAGCCGGCCAACUUGUGUGCCAGCCGCCGCGGCUAAACCAGGGGCCCAAAUUGAUAAUUUUCGGCGUCAAGCGUGAUAUUAAGACCACAUCACCACUAUUAGAGUUGAUCAAAGAUUUAGUAGUAAUAAGCCCAUCUUAACGAAAACACACGCAAAAGCCACUCUAACUAUUACUUAAUGCACGACAGCCUAGACACAAACUGGGAUUAGAUACCCCACUAUGCUAGACCGUAAACUUGAAUUACACCACCUAACGCCUGGGAAUUACGAGCCAUGCUUAAAACCCAAAGGACUUGACGGUAACCCAUCCACCUAGAGGAGCCUGUUCUACAACCGAUAGUCCCCGUUUCACCUCACCCCCACUAGAUUUCCCAGCCUGUAUACCUCCGUCGCAAGCUUACUGUAUGAGCACAAAAUAGUGAGCUCAACUAACCAACCUUAAAUACGUCAGGUCAAGGUGCAGCCCAUGUGGGGGGAGUAAUGGGCUACAAUUUCUAAAUUAGAACAAACUAACAGUCACAUGAAACUGUGACCCAAAGGCGGAUUUAGUAGUAAGAGCGGAACAGAGAGCCGCUCUUAACACGGACCUGGGCUAUGUACAAACCGCCCGUCACCCUCUUCAAGGUACUUAGCAAGGAA